AGAUGAUUGACCACUCUACUUCCUUUUACAACAGGUGCCCCUACUGAUUCACAAAGUUCCAAUGUUGAAUUUCCAUGACCCCGAUUGAUCUGUGACAGGAGAAGGAAUGAAGUUGGCAGGACUUUCCGCCCUGUCCUUGGUAGCAGCUGAUGAUGGAAAGGACAGAGUUGACAUGGCUCAUUUCAUCAAAGAUGCACUGAAAGCAGCGGCACUAUCUCCAUCACUGGUGAAAUGGGAAAUGACAAUUGGCGGUCAUCACUUUGCAGCUCACUGAUGCAUUCCGCAGCCGAUCUCUUUCCGUCUCCAAUGGUGGUCUCUGGAGGAAUGGUUGCAGUGCAGUCUUCACGUCCGGGGCAGGUGUAUGUCACUUGUGUGGCAGCUUGGAAUGGUGUUUUACCGAUUGCACUGACGGUGGCAUUGUUAUACUGGGCGUCUCCUUCCGCCCUUAUAGGUCUGAUGAAUGUUGGUGCCUGAUGCUGGUUUGAUGUUUGCGCCAAGAAGCAUACCACGCGUACCCUCUGUUGUAAGGCUGGUACCCAAGUGACCGACAGCCAUGGCAACAUUAAGCUGUGCGGCUCUCCGUCCCCUUCCUGAUCGACUGACUUCCUCGUACAGCUUUUCACGGUGACUUGUGUAAUGGCACUUCUUACAUCGAAUGAAAAGGAUCCAUGCUAGGCCUCUCUUUUCCUCCCCAUGCUGGUUCCAGUCCAGUAAACCGUCACAGUCCGGUG
This is a long non-coding RNA of Magallana angulata, 731 nucleotides long. RefSeq lists it as uncharacterized. The record is from RefSeq and is a predicted model, not a curated record. Lineage: Eukaryota; Metazoa; Mollusca; Bivalvia; Ostreida; Ostreidae. The transcript has 5 exons.